CAUGCCCCUUAUACGCUGGGCUACACACGUGCUACAAUGGGUAGAACAGAGAGUCGCAAAGCUGUGAAGUGGAGCUAAUCUCAGAAAACUAUUCUUAGUUCGGAUUGUACUCUGCAACUCGAGUACAUGAAGUUGGAAUCGCUAGUAAUCGCGAAUCAGCAAUGUCGCGGUGAAUACGUUCUCGGGUCUUGUACACACCGCCCGUCACACCACGAGAGUUGGUUGCACCUGAAGUAGCAGGCCUAACCGUAAGGAGGGAUGCUCCGAGGGUGUGAUUAGCGAUUGGGGUGAAGUCGUAACAAGGUAUCCGUACGGGAACGUGCGGAUGGAUCACCUCCUUUCUAAGGAGAAUAUGUCUUUCUCUAUUCUAUUGGUAAUGUUCUUAGAACAUUGUGCUGAACAUUGGAAACUAUAUAGUAGAACAAACAAGAAAAAAAAUUAACUCUAACAAUUUCUUAGAGUUAGCUGUCAAAAAAAAUAGGUUAAAAUAAUUAAGGGCACACAAAGGAUGCCUAGGUAGUAAGAGCCGAUGAAGGACGUGGUAAGCUGCGAUAAGCCUAG
This 561-nucleotide small RNA is filed under the name uncultured Fusobacterium sp. Its description in RNAcentral is "bacterial SSU rRNA". The stretch from base 1 to 341 matches the Rfam family "Bacterial small subunit ribosomal RNA", at positions 1194 to 1533 of the family's 1533-position model. Lineage: Bacteria; Fusobacteriati; Fusobacteriota; Fusobacteriia; Fusobacteriales; Fusobacteriaceae. The record is from RNAcentral.